CCUACGGGAGGCAGCAGUGGGGAAUAUUGCACAAUGGGCGGAAGCCUGAUGCAGCGACGCCGCGUGAGGGAUGACGGCCUUCGGGUUGUAAACCUCUUUCAGUAGGGAAGAAGCGUAAGUGACGGUACCUGCAGAAGAAGCGCCGGCUAACUACGUGCCAGCAGCCGCGGUAAUACGUAGGGCGCAAGCGUUAUCCGGAAUUAUUGGGCGUAAAGAGCUCGUAGGCGGUUUGUCGCGUCUGCCGUGAAAGUCCGGGGCUCAACUCCGGAUCUGCGGUGGGUACGGGCAGACUAGAGUGAUGUAGGGGAGACUGGAAUUCCUGGUGUAGCGGUGAAAUGCGCAGAUAUCAGGAGGAACACCGAUGGCGAAGGCAGGUCUCUGGGCAUUAACUGACGCUGAGGAGCGAAAGCAUGGGGAGCGAACAGGAUUAGAUACCCUGGUAGUCCAUGCCGUAAACGUUGGGCACUAGGUGUGGGGACAUUCCACGUUUUCCGCGCCGUAGCUAACGCAUUAAGUGCCCCGCCUGGGGAGUACGGCCGCAAGGCUAAAACUCAAAGGAAUUGACGG
RNAcentral lists this ribosomal RNA (567 nucleotides) under uncultured bacterium. RNAcentral's name for it is "bacterial SSU rRNA". It matches the Rfam family "Bacterial small subunit ribosomal RNA", at positions 338 to 916 of the family's 1533-position model. The record is from RNAcentral.